This 347-nucleotide unclassified non-coding RNA is filed under the name soil metagenome. Its description in RNAcentral is "partial contains 5.8S ribosomal RNA, internal transcribed spacer 2, and large subunit ribosomal RNA". The stretch from base 1 to 120 matches the Rfam family "5.8S ribosomal RNA", at positions 35 to 154 of the family's 154-position model. The record is from RNAcentral.
GAUGAAGAACGCAGCAAAAUGCGAUAAGUAAUGUGAAUUGCAGAAUUCAGUGAAUCAUCGAAUCUUUGAACGCACAAUGCGCCCGCUGGUAUUCCGGCGGGCAUGCCUGUUCGAGCGUCAUUUCAACCCUCAAGCCCCCGGGUUUGGUGUUGGGGAUCGGCUCUGCCCUUCUGGGCGGUGCCGCCCCCGAAAUACAUUGGCGGUCUCGCUGCAGCCUCCAUUGCGUAGUAGCUAACACCUCGCAACUGGAACGCGGCGCGGCCAUGCCGUAAAACCCCAACUUCUGAAUGUUGACCUCGGAUCAGGUAGGAAUACCCGCUGAACUUAAGCAUAUCAAUAAGCGGGGA